Molecule: unclassified non-coding RNA, 235 nt
Filed under: Pezicula alnicola
Lineage: Eukaryota; Fungi; Ascomycota; Leotiomycetes; Helotiales; Dermateaceae
Description: partial internal transcribed spacer region
Rfam family: Eukaryotic small subunit ribosomal RNA (bases 1-46)
Source: RNAcentral
AAGUCGUAACAAGGUUUCCGUUGGUGAACCAGCGGAAGGAUCAUUACAGAGAUCAUGCCCUUCGGGGUAGACCUCCCACCCUGUGUUAUUUACUCUUGUUGCUUUGGCAGGCCGCCUUCGGGCUCCCGGCUUCGGCUGGGGCGCGCCUGCCAGAGGACCCCAUAUUCUAUGUUUUUUUGUCGUCUGAGUACUAUAUAAUAAGUUAAAACUUUCAACAACGGAUCUCUUGGUUCUG